AUUGCUUUUCGGCCUUUUGGCUAAGAUCAAGUGUAGUAUAUGUUCUUAUUAGUUUAAUAUUUGAUACAUCCUCUAUUCGAGGACAAUAUAUUAAAUAACAAAUGAAUAUUUGGAAUAGGGAGUCAGAAUAGUAACUUUCUCUGUCCACUUCAUGCAAUGACCUGUUACUGCAGUACCUUCAGGAACAAUACAUCAAAA
Molecule: small nuclear RNA, 198 nt
Organism: Suncus etruscus (white-toothed pygmy shrew)
Lineage: Eukaryota; Metazoa; Chordata; Mammalia; Eulipotyphla; Soricidae
Product: U2 spliceosomal RNA
Exons: 1
Source: RefSeq, a predicted model, not a curated record